This 405-nucleotide ribosomal RNA is filed under the name uncultured rumen bacterium. RNAcentral's name for it is "bacterial SSU rRNA". It matches the Rfam family "Bacterial small subunit ribosomal RNA", at positions 354 to 776 of the family's 1533-position model. The record is from RNAcentral.
GUGGGGAAUAUUGGGCAAUGGGGGAAACCCUGACCCAGCAACGCCGCGUGAAGGAAGAAGGCUUUCGGGUUGUAAACUUCUUUUAACAGGGAAGAUAAUGACGGUACCUGUUGAAUAAGCCACGGCUAACUACGUGCCAGCAGCCGCGGUAAUACGUAGGUGGCGAGCGUUGUCCGGAUUUACUGGGUGUAAAGGGCGCGUAGGCGGGGAUGCAAGUCAGAUGUGAAAUCCAUGGGCUUAACCCAUGAACUGCAUUUGAAACUGUGUCUCUUGAGUGUCGGAGAGGUAGAUGGAAUUCCUAGUGUAGCGGUGAAAUGCGUAGAUAUUAGGAGGAACACCAGUGGCGAAGGCGAUCUACUGGACGAUAACUGACGCUGAGGCGCGAAAGCGUGGGGAGCAAACAGG